UUGAAAAGCAAGACGUGUCUAGGAGGGAGGCACCAGGGAACUUCCCUCCCUCGCUUGAGCACAGUCCAAGAUGAAAGUUUCUGGGUUGUUUCCCUUCGCUUCCUCUCACCCUCGCUCGCCCUCGGAGCCGCAGAGCCAGCAAUUGUGCAAGAAGAGCCGGGUGUGCAGGGCGCGUAUCACCAAGCGCAUGGUACGAGCCGCCGACUCUGGUGAUUAAUUAUCAGUUGCCGCUGGCCUCACACUAACACGUCGGCUUUCCGGGCAGAGCCAGCACACCCAGCCGCCGGCAGCGCGGCCCGGACCGAGCAGCGGCUCUGGGGAGGACGCCGCGGCUGCGCCCGAGUUUACACCUUCUCCAGAUGGCUCCUGGCAACCUUGGCUGGGCAUUUCAACAUAUAGGAAACUCAGCCAGAACAGCCUGAAGAUUUCAGGGGACAAGAUCAUGGUCCAAAUUGCAAUCCAGGGUACUCCGAGGUUUAAGUUAUCAACUGAACUUUGAUGGCCACCAAAAUCCCUACCUUCAGCUUAGACUGCUCUUCUACACUGCAAAUGUACUCAACUGUCUACCUGUCAUUUCCAAGAGAAUGCCUAACAGGAACUUCAAAAGGAACUUCCACAAGUGCUGCCCUAGGACUCCUCAAAUUUGCUCCUUCUCCAGAAUUGAGCUUAUUAAAUAGCACCAUUGACCACUGAGUCCUUGGAAAAUAAUUUUUUUCCAUUUACAAAGUCCAAAGGGAUGGACUAUUUUAUCUUUUCCCAUUUUCUUAAGAGCAUUUUCUUGGAGCUAUAGUGAAUCUCAGUCUUUACAUUAACCAUUAGAACAGAGGUAAAUCUGUAGGGAUUAAGUCCACUCUCCAGUUUUCAUUGCAGAGAUAUCUCCAAGGUCACAUGCCAGAUCACCUCAAUAUGUAAAAACAAACCACUAGAAUUAGCUCAAGUGUUUCUCAACUGUGAGAUUUUGUCCCAACUUUAUAGUCACUUUGUGUUAUCCUACAUGCAUGUAAAUCUGUUAAUGUCUACUCAAUAAUAAAUUGUGUUCUUUCUCUCUCUUGUAAGUCAAUAAGAAGGUGUCCUUUUUGUUGGCAGGAUUAUUUUAGUUCCAUAACAAUCUCUCCCCACCCCCUCUGAAAACUCACAUGCAAUCUCCAAAUGGCUUCUAGUUUAUCUCCUAAAGAAUCUCUGGAUCCAUCUACUCUCCAUCCCCAUGUCUACCACCCUAGAACAGACUACAUCUUUUGAUAGUUAAAAUAGACUCCAACCUCAGCUUCUCUUGAAUUUACUUUUUCUCCCAUCCAAACCAUUCUCCUCCAAAUUAUAGCUGGUUUUUCCAAAAUCCUUUAACAGGACCCUACAAGAUCUGACAUCUGCCAACCUGUGCAUCUCUAUCUUUUGACCCUUCACAAUGACCCAGAUUUUCUGUGUGCCCCAGCCAUUCUCUCAUUGCUUUAAUCCCUUUCCUUUUCUCCUUCCUGAACCUUCAGAGAUGCCCUCAGAGACAGUUUCUUUACCUGGACUAGAGUAGGUUAUUAUCUCUUCCUACAGCACCCUGUCCUUAUUCUCAGCACUUGUAAUUAUUUAAGGUCUAACUUCCCUAUGGGUCAACAAGCACUAUCAUAGCAGACCUAUAUUCCCAGUGCAGCUACAACAAAUAUUUCUGACUGAAUAUCCUAACGUAUUAGCCAGUGAAAGUAGAGAAGCAGCUUAAAAGCAAUUAAGAAGUAUGUAGGUCGGGGUGCCUGGGUGGUUCAGUCAGUUAAGCGUCUCUUGAUUUCAGCUCAAGCUGUGAUCUCAUGCCCCCACAUUGGGCUCUGCACGGACAGCAAGAGCUUGCUUGGGA
Molecule: long non-coding RNA, 1837 nt
Organism: Felis catus (domestic cat)
Lineage: Eukaryota; Metazoa; Chordata; Mammalia; Carnivora; Felidae
Exons: 3
Source: RefSeq, a predicted model, not a curated record